This 429-nucleotide ribosomal RNA is filed under the name bacterium. Its description in RNAcentral is "partial 16S ribosomal RNA". It matches the Rfam family "Bacterial small subunit ribosomal RNA", at positions 355 to 776 of the family's 1533-position model. The record is from RNAcentral.
UGGGGAAUUUUGGACAAUGGGCGAAAGCCUGAUCCAGCAAUGCCGCGUGUGUGAAGAAGGCCUUCGGGUUGUAAAGCACUUUUGUCCGGAAAGAAAUGGCUCUGGUUAUUACCUGGGGUCGAUGCCGGUCCCGGAAGAAUAAGGACCGCCUAACUACUUGCCAGCAGCCGCGUGAAUACGUAGGGUCCAAGCGUUAGUCGGAAUUACUGGGCGUAAAGCGUGCGCAGGCGGUUGUGCAAGAGCGAUGUGAAAUCCCCGAGCUUAACUUGGGAAUUGCAUUGGUGACUGCACGGAUAGAGUGUGUGAGAGGGGGGUAGAAUUCCACGUGUAGAAGUGAAAUGCGUAGAGAUGUGGAGGAAUACCGAUGGCGAAGGCAGGGCCCUGGGAUAACACUGACGCUCAUGCACGAAAGCGUGGGGAGCAAACAGG